This 7574-nucleotide long non-coding RNA is filed under the name Ananas comosus (pineapple). RNAcentral describes it as "long non-coding RNA (ACOM_LNC010753)". Lineage: Eukaryota; Viridiplantae; Streptophyta; Magnoliopsida; Poales; Bromeliaceae. The record is from RNAcentral.
GAAGUAUCUAAGGUCAUGUGAUUUUGUUUAAAAAUCUGUUUCUUUGGAUGCAUUGAGAUUUAGUUAUUUUUUUAAGAUAGGUUGAGAUUUUGUGAGAUUUUUAUUCUAUUAGGAUAGGUUGAGAUUUUGUUACCAGAUUUUUAUCAUGUUAGAAUAGUUGUUUAAGUUGAUAUAUUAUUUUGAGCUUAUUCAUUUGUUAGGAAAGCUCUUUAAAUAAGCCUAUGUAUGGAACAAUGAAAACAAUGAAGAUGAAUAUUGUUAUAGUCAUUGAGAUGUGUUCUCUAAAUUCCUUCGCAUUUAUGCGUCGACCGGAGUGAAUCCGUGGAGAGCGAGUCCCUUUAUCUUUUUUUUUUUCUCCGCUGACUGCAUUCGUCGUCGCCAUCGUCAUCCACCAUCGACGUCAUCUCCACCAGUCUUGCCACGCCACUACCAAUUGUUGCGCUCGAGCCACCUCCCGAUCAUUUCGACGUCACUAUCAAACCGAUGCCAUAUAGCUUGUCCACCGGACUCCUAUCUCUCAAAUAACCACCCAUUGCUUUGUGUCCAUAGAAGGUGCCCAAGGAGAGGCUUGGAUCCGAUUGAUUAAGAACGGGCAGUUCUAUUUUGUUUGGAGUUACUAAUAUCGCCUGCGGAGCAUUGAAAGGUUAGAUUGACCAUCCCUAAUUUUAGUUUUGCGUCAUCUAUCGGCCCCUUCUUUGUUUUUUUUUUUUCUAGAAGUAUUUUUUUUUUCCUUUUUGGCGAGUCCAGAUUGUGGGUCCCACUGUGUUGCAUUUGAGUUGCAUUAAAGAACCCUUUAAUAAUAGGAUUUGAUUGCAUGCAAUAUUUCAUAUUUACAUUCAUCCUACAUCAAAUUUGGUAUCAGAACCCUAGGUUAAUGAAUGAACCUUAGAAGUGGCAAGAUUUAUCAACCUUUACCGAUGUCCUCAGACCCCACAAAAAUGGAACAAAUUUUACAGCAAUUAGCCGCUUUGAACGCUAAACUAGACGACAUAGGGAACCGUGUUACCAACCUAGAAACGAAUCCUGAUAAGGUCACAACACAAAACAAUGACACUACAGGAGUAGAACAAGAGGGAUCUGCUGCACACACUGCACAACCACGUGAUAUUAACGUUCGAAAUGUCUUUCAACAAAUGCCCCCAAGAUUCAAUCCUCUUUUACAAGGAAAUGAAAAUUUUAACUUUCAAGAUGACAUCACAUAAAAGGUUAAAAUUGAUGCACCAAGUGUUGACGAAAAACUUGAUUUGAAAUUAUUCACAAACUGGCUCGUCGACAUGGACCAGUACUUCAACUGGUAUGAAAUGUCUGAUAGUCAACAGGUUCGUUAUGCUAAAAUGAAACUCACCGGCGCCGCCAAGCAAUAUCGGAUUGGCGUUGAAAGACACUUAGAGCAGAUUGGCCAGGAGCCCAUCACUUUGUAGGCAGAGAUGAAGGCUAAACUGAGAGAGAAGUACUUGCCAUCUACGUACAAACAACAAUUGUACGAUCAAUUGAACACUGUAUAGCAAGGUUCUAUGUCAGUUGCUGAUUACAUGGCCAAGUUUGACGAGACAAACGUUCGUUGCGAUAUUCAAGAAGAAGAGGAAUGAAUUGUCUCCUGAUUCCGCCACAGGUUGUGCAAGUUACAGCGCGAAAUUGCGCCGCACAGGGCCGCAACCGUUGAGCAAGCUUUUAAACUCGCUUAGAAUAUGAGAAAUAUUUAAAAACACCAGCUCGACAAUUUGUUGGAAAAUUCAAUACGCCUAACGCAAAUCCAAAUUUUACUAAAGCGAAUAAUUUUCAAAAUCAUCAAAAUUCUAAUUCUAUGGGCAAGGGUUUAGCUAUAAACGACACUAAACAAGAAAACAUACAGGGUAGGUGUUAUAACUAUCGCCAUAUAGGUCAUACAUGAUGUAGGACAGAAUAUAGGGUCCUACAUUUUUAGAGGGCUCCAAAAUAUAAUUUAUGAUUUUGAAAGCUUUUUGAAAAUUUGAAAGCUUGUGAAAUAUUUUUUUUAGAAAUUUUCGAAAUUAAAAAAAUAAAAAUUAAAGAAAAUAGAAAAAUUCAAAAAAUAGAAAAAAUUAGAAAAAAUAAUCAGAACUCACUCCUGAACCGAACUCACUCUAGGGCGAAGCAUUCGCGAAGGAAAAAAGACUUCAUUGCCAAAUCAUUUAUCUUCAUUAUAAAUUCAUCCCCAUACAAAGAAGUCUUAUACGUUAUUUAUAUUAUGUUUAACCUUAUCUAUACAUAACCAACUUAGAAUUUAAUCUUAUCCUAAAUAACUAAAUAAAGCAACUUUACCUAGAGAUUAACAAAAAAAUGAAAAUUAAAAAUAAAUACGAUUGAAACAAAUAAGAGGAUAGCUAAAAAUCCUCAUUUAACUAACGAAAAAAUAUUCUCAACUAAUCUAAUCUAAUUUUAAAAACGAUAAACAAAAUCGGUUUAAUCCGAUCAAAAUAGGUUCAAGCUUGUUCUGCAUCAUUACGCUUAUGAAUGCCCCAAGUGGAACAUGUUUGUUCAGCCAGAUGGCGAUGAGUUGGAGAACUUAGAGGACGUCGCACACACAAUCGAUGAAAUUCCUAGUGAUGAAGAUAUGUUGAGAUCGAACGAGGAGUUUGAAGAAAACGUCACCUUACAAGUCAUGCAUUGUAUUUUGACCCAACCUAGGAAAGAGAAUGAUUGGAGGUGCACUUCCAUAUUUCACACCUAUACGAAAUGUAGAGACAAGAGUUGCAAGGUCAUCAUUGAUGGUGGUAGUUGCAUUAAUAUAAUAUCAGAAGCUGUCGUAGGUCGUUUAAACCUGAAAACAGAGCCUCACCCUAACCCUUAUAGUGUUGCGUGAGUAGACAAGACCAUUAUGCCGGUAAAACGACAUUGUUUGGUUCCACUUCAUUUUGCUACCUACUCCGACCAGAUUUGGUGCAAUGUCCUCCCUAUAGAUGUCGCUCAUGUUCUUUUAGGAAGAUCAUGGCUAUAUGAUAUGUCUGUCGUUCACCACGGAUUAUCCAAUACCCAUGUUUUUGCUCACAAUGGCAAGAAAAUUGUUUUGAGCCCAACAAACCCUUCUUCACAAAAAUUUUCAUCAAAAAACUCGAAUCCUACCAAAGAUUUUAAAAAUCCACCAUUAGAGAUUGAGAAAACAAAACCCCUUCAUAUUUUAAACAAAAAAAAGUUUUGUAGAGAAAUUGAUUCAAAAAUUGUGUACGCUUUAAUUGUAAAGGAGACUGCUCAAUUGACUAAUUCUUUUGAAACCCCUUUAGUAAUUAAGGAACUCCUUGCCGAAUUUAGUGAAGUCGCACCAAAAGAAUUACCUGAUAAACUUACCCCACUUAAAGACAAACAACAUGAUGUAGAUAUGGUCCCAGGGUCAUGCUUACCUUACCGCAUUAUAGAAUGAACCCUAAGGAACACGCUGAACUAAAGCGCAAAGUAGGAGAGUUGAUUAAGAAGGGCUUUGUACGAAGAGCAUGAGUCCCUACGCAAUACCGGCACUUCUUACACCAAAGAAGGACGGAAGUUUGUGCAUGUGUGUGGACAGUCGUGAUAUUAAUAAAAUCACAGUUAAGUAUCGAUUUCCGAUUCCCCGCUUGGAUGAUAUGUUGGAUAUGAUGGUAGGGGCAACUAUUUUCAGAAAGCUUGAUCUUCGUAGCGGUCACCACCAAAUUCGACUUCGGCCUAGGGAUAAGUGGAAAACUGCCUUUAAAACUAGAGAAGGGUUGUACGAGUGGCUAUUUAUGCCAUUCGGUUUGACAAAUGCCCCGAGUACUUUCAUGAGGGUAAUGAACCAAGUUUUUCGACCAUUUAUUGGCAAGUUUGUGGUAGUAUAUUUUGAUGAUAUUUUAAUCUACAGUCGUGCCGAAAACGAACACUUAAUUCACAUGCGACAGGUUUUUGAAAUCUUGAGUAAGGAAAAAAAAUUAUGCAUAUGAAAAAAUGUUCUUUUAUGCAACCCUGUGUUAUUUUCUUGGGUUUCAUUGUAUCCAAAGAUGGGGCAUUGGCUGACCUAAAAAAGGUCAAGGCUAUUAGAGAAUGGCCAGAACCGAAAAAUAUACAUGAUGCUAGGAGCUUUCAUGGCCUAGCAACUUUUUAUCGACGAUUCAUUACAGGUUUAGUACUAUAAUGGCCCCGAUUACAAAUUGUUUAAAGAAUGGUGAAUUCAAAUGGACAAAAUCGACCACAAAAGCUUUUCAAGAAAUUAAGGAAAUGAUGACAAAGGCCCUCUGUUUUGAAAUUACCAAAUUUUGAAAAGAUUUUUGAAGUUUCUUGUAAUGCCUCUGGGGUGGGAAUUUGUGGAAUAUUAACCCAAGAAGGUCAUCCCAUAGCUUAUUUUAGCGAAAAAUUAAAUAAGGCUAAACAAAAAUAUUCCACUUACGACAAAAAAAUUAUACGUUGUGGUUCAAACCCUGAGAUAUUGGCGACAUUAUUUGUUACCAAAAGAAUGUGUUUUAUUUUCUAAUCACCAACCUCCCAGUUACUUUUAACUCACAAAAACAUUUAAAUUUUCGACACGCAAAGUGUAUUGAGUUUAUUCAAGAAUAUACUUUCACUUUGAAACAUCGAGCCGGGGUAGAUAAUAAAGUUGCUGAUGCAUUAAGUCGAAUCGUAACAACCUUGCAUAAAGUUGGAGGGAGUGUAAUCAGGUUCGACAGUAUUAAGAGAGAAUAUUCCUCAUGUCCGGAUUUUAGCAAAAUCUACACCUUAGCUUUAGAGAACAAAUCCGCCGACCCAGAUUUUGUCAUUCGAGAUGGCUAUCUAUUUCGCGGUAGUCAUUUAUGUAUUCCGCAAGGCUCGUUGCAUGAUUUCAUUGUUUGGGAAUUACAUACAGGAGGUUUAGUCAGACAUUUUGGUCGAGACAAAACCAUCUCUAUGGUUAAGGACAAGGUUUAAAGUGUUGGGGCACGGGGGCGUGCCGUUGUCUGCCUGGCACGGUACGGCACCGGCACGCUUCCAUGCCGACACAUGGUACGCUUGCAUGCCGAUGGAUACGCACGACCUCCUACCAGCACGCUUUGGCACGGACUUAUUUCAAUUUUUUUUUGUUCCAAUAAGCUCUUAUAAUGUUAUUUUGAAAGAAUUAAUCAAAUAAUUAUGAAUAUAUGCUAUGUAUAGCUUACUAUACUCAUCAAUUAACAUAUUUGUAAGCUUUUUUGUAUGUAAAGUACAAUUAUACCUGAUGCAGAAUAAAAAUUUUUACAGGUUAGAAUUUUUAAAAUACAAAGACAUCUUUUUUUUCUUUUUUUCUUUUGACCAUAUUAUAGUUUUUCUUUUAUACAAUACAAAAAAAAUAAUUUUACAUUUUUUUGAAAAAAUUAUUUUAAAAAGUAUUUGAAAAAAUUUAUUUUUUUAAUUAUUUUUUUCAAAAAAUUAGUAGGUCUAUCAAAAAAAUUAAGCAAUAAAUUAUAUGACAAAUAAAUUAAAUAAAUUUAAGUAUCAAUUGAUUUAAUUUAGCUUUUAAUCUUAUCAGUAUUUUCAAUCUUCUAGCGCAAAAAUAAAAUUUAUGUUUGAUGUGGCUUAAAAUUUGUUUAUUGAGUUCGAUUUUGUUCCCUUAAUUCGCCAAAAAUUUCGUGGUGCGACAAAUUUUGAUAAAAUAAUCUGUGACUAAAAAAUAAAUAUCUGUGGUGGAAGCGGAGGGCUCGGACAAAUCUUUUGUCCGUAUAUUGAUAAAUAAAAAAAAUUAAAUUAUAAAUUUUUUGACUUAUCUAAUAAGUAAAUUUUCGAUUUGCAAUAUCUUUGGGGAGGUGUGGAGUACCCAGAAUGCUUUGGAUAUCCCAAAGAACAAAACAAAGAAAAAAAAAUAAGAAAAAAAAAUUUAAAAAAAAGCACAGUGCUAGCACAGCACUGUAACGUGGCACGCUGCACCGUGCCGCUCUGUCUCGUGCGGCACGGCGCUGCGUGCCGCGGCACGAAGGAGGGUCCGAGACCCCCCCUUACCGUGCCACCUUCAUGCGGCACGGAGCAGCAAUUUAAACCUUGGUUAAGGAUCGAUUCUUUUAGCCGAACCUCAAGCGAGAUGUUGCUCACAUCGUGGCACGAUGUGGGACGUGUCAAAAGGCUAGAGGCGGCCGAAAGAAUGAAGGAUUAUACACACCUUUACCCGUACCACAUUCUCCUUAGCAAGACCUAAGCAUGGAUUUUGUUUUGGGUCUACCAAAAACUAUUAGAAAACAUGAUUCGAUCCUUAUCGUAGUUGACCGCUUUUCUAAAAUGGCACACUUCAUUCCUUGUCGCAAAACAUCUUAUGCUACUCAUGUAGCGAAACUUUUUGUCGUUGAAAUUGCACGACUUCAUGGGUUACCAAAAUCAAUCGUGACUGAUAAGGAUGCUCGCUUCGUUAGUUAUUUUUGGAAAACAUUAUGGAAAAUUAUAAGUACAAAAUUGCUUUUCUCGUCUUCACAUCACCCGCAAACUAACAGUCAAACGGAGGUAGUCAAUAGGAGUUUGGGAAACCUACUUCAAUGUCAAGUUGGUGAGAAUGUUAAGAAUUGGGAUCUCAUCUUACCACAAGCUGAAUUCGCAUAUAAUAGCUCAAUUAAUCGAACAACCGGAAUGAGCCCAUCUAAGAUAGUGACAGGAUAUAAUCCAAACAAAGACCUAGUGAACAUGCAUCUUCAUUUGCACAACAUAUGCGGGACUUACAUUACGAGAUUCGACGAAAAAUAGUUUUAAGUAAUGAUAACUAUAAGAAAGUCGCCGAUAGACACAGGCGCGUUGUUGAAUUUAAUGAAGGAGACUCGAAAGGAGACUCGAUGAUGGUGCGGAUUAGACCCGAAAGGCUUCCGCAUGGUACUAUUAGAAAACUAUAUGCAAGAAAUAUGGGUCCGUUUACAAUUCUUAAGAAAAUUGGUUCUAAUGCUUAUUUAUUGGAUUUACCGUCUAAUAUGAGAAUUAAUCCUACUUUUAAUGUUGAAGACCUCAUCUUAUACCAUCUAGAUACACUAAAUUCAUGUCCCAAGUCCCCACCUCAACUUGUUCCGAGUAUCCCAUUACAGGAAAAGCGAGAUGACAUUGAGGCAAUCCUUGAUGAUCAGAUUGUAUCGACGAGGGAUGACGGAGAGCCCAACUUUUUGGUCAAGUAGUAAUAUCGACCGGAAGAAAACGCAACGUGGAUUUCGCAUGAUGAGCUUCAACGACUAGAUCAAAAUCUAUAUGAGAAGUACAUCUCGAACAAUUCGACGGAGUCGAAUUUCUCGAAGGCGGGGAGAGUUGAUGCGGACCAGGUCCCCUUUCGAGUGUAGGAAUGCCGUCGAUGCUGAAAACGCAACUUGAGCAUGUGGCUCAAUCAAUUCGGAUUGGAUUCGGAUUGAGUCACACUCGUUUGUUUCCAGAAGUAUCUAAGGUCAUGUGAUUUUGUUUAAAAACUUGUUUCUUUGGAUAAGUUGAGAUUUAGUUUAAAAGGAUUGGUUGAGAUUUUAUGAGAUUUUUUUUCUAUUAGAAUAGGUUGAGAUUUUGUUAUCAGAUUUUUAUCAUGUUAGAAUGGUUGUUUAAGUUGAUAUUUUAUUUUAAGCUUAUCCAUUUGGUAGUAAAGCUCUUUAAAUAAGCCUAUGUAUGGAACGAUGAAAACAAUGAAGAUGAAUAUUGUUAUAGUCAUUGAGAUG